ACAGAUUCGUAUCUCUGGGUAAC
RNAcentral lists this microRNA (23 nucleotides) under Strongylocentrotus purpuratus (purple sea urchin). RNAcentral's name for it is "Spu-Mir-10-P1_3p* (star (passenger))". The record is from RNAcentral. Lineage: Eukaryota; Metazoa; Echinodermata; Echinoidea; Camarodonta; Strongylocentrotidae.